RNAcentral lists this ribosomal RNA (400 nucleotides) under uncultured bacterium. RNAcentral describes it as "bacterial SSU rRNA". It matches the Rfam family "Bacterial small subunit ribosomal RNA", at positions 356 to 773 of the family's 1533-position model. The record is from RNAcentral.
GGGGAAUAUUGCGCAAUGGGGGAAACCCUGACGCAGCAACGCCGCGUGAAGGAAGAAGGCCUUCGGGUUGUAAACUUCUUUGAUCGGGGACGAAUCUGACGGUACCCGAGGAACAAGCCACGGCUAACUACGUGCCAGCAGCCGCGGUAAUACGUAGGUGGCGAGCGUUGUCCGGAAUUACUGGGCGUAAAGGGCGCGUAGGCGGGGGAUCAAGUCAGGUGUGAAAUACCGCGGCUUAACUGCGGGGCUGCACCUGAAACUGGUUUUCUUGAGUGUCGGAGAGGAAAGUGGAAUUCCCAGUGUAGCGGUGAAAUGCGUAGAGAUUGGGAGGAACACCAGUGGCGAAGGCGGCUUUCUGGACGAUAACUGACGCUGAGGCGCGAAAGCGUGGGGAGCAAAC